GGUUAAGUUAAUAAGGGCGCACGGUGGAUGCCUUGGCACUAGAAGCCGAUGAAGGACGUGACUAACAACGAAAUGCUUUGGGGAGCUGUAAGUGAGCAAUGAUCCAGAGAUGUCCGAAUGGGGGAACCCGGCAGGUAAUGCCUGUCACUCAUUACUGUUAAGGUAAUGUAGAGGAAGACGCAGUGAACUGAAACAUCUAAGUAGCUGCAGGAAGAGAAAGCAAAAGCGAUUGCCUUAGUAGCGGCGAGCGAAACGGCAAGAGGGCAAACCGAAGAGUUUACUCUUCGGGGUUGUAGGACUGCAACGUGGACUUAAAGAUUAUAGAAGAACUACCUGGGAAGGUAGGCCAAAGAGAGUAAUAGCCUCGUAUUCGAAAUAGUCUUUAUACCUAGCAGUAUCCUGAGUACGGCGAGACACGAGAAAUCUCGUCGGAAUCUGGGAGGACCAUCUCCCAACCCUAAAUACUCUCUAGUGACCGAUAGUGAACCAGUACCGUGAGGGAAAGGUGAAAAGCACCCCGGGAGGGGAGUGAAAUAGAACCUGAAACCGUGUGCCUACAACAAGUUCGAGCCCGUUAAUGGGUGAGAGCGUGCCUUUUGUAGAAUGAACCGGCGAGUUACGAUAUGAUGCGAGGUUAAGUUGAAGAGACGGAGCCGUAGGGAAACCGAGUCUUAAUAGGGCGCAUUAGUAUCAUGUCGUAGACCCGAAACCAUGUGACCUACCCAUGAGCAGGUUGAAGGUGAGGUAAAACUCACUGGAGGACCGAACCAGGGCACGUUGAAAAGUGCUUGGAUGACUUGUGGGUAGCGGAGAAAUUCCAAACGAACUUGGAGAUAGCUGGUUCUCUCCGAAAUAGCUUUAGGGCUAGCGUCGAUGUUAAGUCUCUUGGAGGUAGAGCACUGUUUGGGUGAGGGGUCCAUCCCGGAUUACCAAUCUCAGAUAAACUCCGAAUGCCAAUGAGAUAUAAUCGGCAGUCAGACUGCGAGUGCUAAGAUCCGUAGUCGAAAGGGAAACAGCCCAGACCACCAGCUAAGGUCCCAAAAUAUAUGUUAAGUGGAAAAGGAUGUGGGGUUGCACAGACAACUAGGAUGUUAGCUUAGAAGCAGCUAUUCAUUCAAAGAGUGCGUAAUAGCUCACUAGUCGAGUGACCCUGCGCCGAAAAUGUACCGGGGCUAAAACAUAUUACCGAAGCUGUGGAUACCUUUAUAGGUAUGGUAGGAGAGCGUUCUAUGUGCGAAGAAGGUGUACCGUGAGGAGUGCUGGAGCGCAUAGAAGUGAGAAUGCCGGUAUGAGUAGCGAAAGACAGGUGAGAAUCCUGUCCACCGUAAGACUAAGGUUUCCAGGGGAAGGCUCGUCCGCCCUGGGUUAGUCGGGACCUAAGGAGAGACCGAAAGGUGUAUCCGAUGGACAACAGGUUGAUAUUCCUGUACUAGAGUAUAUAGUGAUGGAGGGACGCAGUAGGCUAACUAAACCAGACGAUUGGAAGUGUCUGGCCAAGCAGUGAGGUGUGAUAUGAGUCAAAUGCUUAUAUCUCUAACAUUGAGCUGUGAUGGGGAGCGAAGUUUAGUAGCGAAGUUAGUGAUGUCACACUGCCGAGAAAAGCUUCUAGCGUUAAUUAUACUCUACCCGUACCGCAAACCGACACAGGUAGUCGAGGCGAGUAGCCUCAGGUGAGCGAGAGAACUCUCGUUAAGGAACUCGGCAAAAUGGCCCCGUAACUUCGGGAGAAGGGGCGCUGACUGAUGGUCAGCCGCAGUGAAUAGGCCCAAGCAACUGUUUAUCAAAAACACAGCUCUCUGCUAAAUCGUAAGAUGAUGUAUAGGGGGUGACGCCUGCCCGGUGCUGGAAGGUUAAGAGGAGUGCUUAGCGUAAGCGAAGGUAUGAAUUGAAGCCCCAGUAAACGGCGGCCGUAACUAUAACGGUCCUAAGGUAGCGAAAUUCCUUGUCGGGUAAGUUCCGACCCGCACGAAAGGCGUAAUGAUUUGGGCACUGUCUCAACGAGAGACUCGGUGAAAUUUUAGUACCUGUGAAGAUGCAGGUUACCCGCGACAGGACGGAAAGACCCCAUGGAGCUUUACUGCAGUUUGAUAUUGAGUAUCUGUACCACAUGUACAGGAUAGGUAGGAGCCUAUGACCUCGGGACGCCAGUUUCGAGUGAGGCGUUGUUGGGAUACUACCCUUGUGUUAUGGCUACUCUAACCCAGAUAGGUUAUCCCUAUCGGAGACAGUGUCUGACGGGCAGUUUGACUGGGGCGGUCGCCUCCUAAAAGGUAACGGAGGCGCCCAAAGGUUCCCUCAGAAUGGUUGGAAAUCAUUCGCAGAGUGUAAAGGUAUAAGGGAGCUUGACUGCGAGAGCUACAACUCGAGCAGGGACGAAAGUCGGGCUUAGUGAUCCGGUGGUUCCGUAUGGAAGGGCCAUCGCUCAACGGAUAAAAGCUACCCUGGGGAUAACAGGCUUAUCUCCCCCAAGAGUUCACAUCGACGGGGAGGUUUGGCACCUCGAUGUCGGCUCGUCGCAUCCUGGGGCUGUAGUCGGUCCCAAGGGUUGGGCUGUUCGCCCAUUAAAGCGGCACGCGAGCUGGGUUCAGAACGUCGUGAGACAGUUCGGUCCCUAUCCGUCGCGGGCGUAGGAAAUUUGAGAGGAUCUGCUCCUAGUACGAGAGGACCAGAGUGGACUUACCGCUGGUGUACCAGUUGUUCUGCCAAGAGCAUCGCUGGGUAGCUAUGUAGGGAAGGGAUAAACGCUGAAAGCAUCUAAGUGUGAAGCCCACCUCAAGAUGAGAUUUCCCAUGAUUUUAUAUCAGUAAGAGCCCUGAGAGAUGAUCAGGUUGAUAGGUUAGAAGUGGAAGUGUGGUGACACAUGUAGCGGACUAAUACUAAUAGCUCGAGGACUUAUCCAA
Molecule: ribosomal RNA, 2900 nt
Filed under: Streptococcus vestibularis
Lineage: Bacteria; Bacillati; Bacillota; Bacilli; Lactobacillales; Streptococcaceae
Description: 23S ribosomal RNA
Rfam family: Bacterial large subunit ribosomal RNA
Source: RNAcentral